CCCUUCACCAAACCCACACCACAAGUUGCGCCCAAACACUGGGCUACCAUGUACAACACUGCCCUGAUCAAUGACACUUUCCUUGCCAAGAACAGCCCAAAUGUUACUGCCGGGUUAAUGUGUCCUCUUGUAUUAUUCACAUAUCAGUACUUUAAACAAGUAUGCAAAGGAAACAAUGGGAUAAUAUGUUGUAAAAACUAUUGGAGUAUGAUCACAGAAAAUUCCUUCUACCUUUAACGGCACCAUCCUUAAAAAUAAUUCACUCGGUGUAAGUGUAUUCCUCAAAAAUCAGCAAGCUUGAUCAAUGGCGUACGCAAUAUUUUGUGCAAAAUGUGUCGAUUUUUAAUCACAGUUUUUUAAUCUAACCAUCUAAUAUCCCUUGCCAACUAUAUAACGAUAUAGAUUUGCAUCGCUCAAGACCCAUUUAAACAAAAAGGAUACUCUGCAAAGAAUUUCUUUAUUUUCAAGCACGAGACCCCUGAUUAAAGAUAGAAAAAUGGCAUCCAUCUCACCACAUGCAUUCAUAGUGUCACAAUUCUGUUAAUAAGAGAAUUUGGGUUUGAAUGAGGUUUUAUUUCUUCUUCCAAAUUGAUACACUUUGUAUCAUUUUCACAUAACGUUAGCCACAGAUAUCUAUAAUUCCAAUAUGUAAAAUUAUGGUUUUGAGUUAUGAUUUCUAAUGAAGAUAUUUUUGGAACCAGAAUUACACAACUAAAAUUACUAUUGAUAAGCUAUGCUACUUCGUGUUUUGAUGAUUUGACAAACCUACUUGAGGAACCAGUUAUGUCGUUAGAGGGACCAGGUGCUCGAUCAGGUCCCCUGGGCGUCGUAUAGUCAACUCUACAGCUGCAAAACUGCUGACACUGUAGCAGUGCAGCAUAUACAGCGGUACAGCAGCAGAGUUGCUGCAGGUUGACCAAUGGUCCAAUGUUUAUGACUUGUCCCUCUCACCUUGCCUCUCGUCUUAUAUACACAACAUAUCCUGAGGGAAAUAUUAUUCUUGCUAUAUCCCAAAAUUGUUCAGAUCUUGAGUGCAAGUCUCUACCUAUCAAGGUGUGUUCAAGAACAAAGCUUCAACUAAUCCAAAGACCUGUUCCCUACAACUGAAGAUGUGUUAAGUCCUAGAAGUGUUAAGUUUUUUGUUCCUUUGUUCUAUAACUUGUAAACCUACUCUUCUCAAAAGGAAGCCGUGUGUAGGUAGCUUGAAUUCUCAAAAGUUGUUUGUAGGCUGUUUACCUACUAAAGCUCUUGAGUGGUAUACUUUUCUAGAGGUAGUCAAGGUGUAUUAGUCAGUUUGGCUUGAGGUAGUCAUACUCUGUUGAGUGCUUGGCUAGGGGUAGUCAAGAGUUGUAGCUUACAAUGAAGGUAUUGUAAGGGUGAGGAAUUAAGAGGUUAAUUCCUAGGUUAUAAUAGGUUGUAAUCUGAAAGUUGCUCAGUGUAGUGGAGUUUGAAAUCCUACGAGGUAGGUCGUGAUUUUUAAUCCCUUGAGGAAGGAGUUUUCCACGUAAAUAUUCUGUGUCAUUUACUUUCUGCACUACAUAAGAAAACUGAUGGAUAACUAGGUUCCUUCAUACAUUGUUUGGUGUACGUAUAGCGUUUAACAACUAUUAAAAAAACUGAAAUUAGUAACGGACUAGUUUGUAGCUAAACGGCAAAAUCCGUCAGCAAGGGAAUAUCAAAACAUUCUGUCAGCUAGC
Long non-coding RNA from Lycium ferocissimum, 1697 nucleotides. RefSeq lists it as uncharacterized. Lineage: Eukaryota; Viridiplantae; Streptophyta; Magnoliopsida; Solanales; Solanaceae. The record is from RefSeq and is a predicted model, not a curated record. The transcript is spliced from 3 exons.